This 496-nucleotide ribosomal RNA is filed under the name uncultured bacterium. RNAcentral describes it as "bacterial SSU rRNA". It matches the Rfam family "Bacterial small subunit ribosomal RNA", at positions 28 to 517 of the family's 1533-position model. The record is from RNAcentral.
GAUGAACGCUAGCUACAGGCUUAACACAUGCAAGUCGAGGGGCAGCACAGUGUAGCAAUACAUGGGUGGCGACCGGCGCACGGGUGCGUAACGCGUAUCCAACCUUCCCGUUACUCAGGGAUAGCCUUCCGAAAGGGAGAUUAAUACCUGAUGGUAUCAGAAUUUCGCAUGUUAUUCUGAUUAAAGAUUUAUCGGUAACGGAUGGGGAUGCGUGACAUUAGGUAGAUGGCGGGGUAACGGCCCACCAUGCCUACGAUGUCUAGGGGUUCUGAGAGGAAGGUCCCCCACACUGGAACUGAGACACGGUCCAGACUCCUACGGGAGGCAGCAGUGAGGAAUAUUGGUCAAUGGUCGGAAGACUGAACCAGCCAAGUAGCGUGAAGGAUGAAGGUUCUAUGGAUUGUAAACUUCUUUUAUACGGGAAUAAAACCACCUACGUGUAGGUGCUUGUAUGUAUCGUAUGAAUAAGCAUCGGCUAACUCCGUGCCAGCAGCCG